Vibrio anguillarum 775 is the source of this 74-nucleotide non-coding RNA. The record is from Rfam. NCBI's taxonomy places the organism in Bacteria, Pseudomonadati, Pseudomonadota, Gammaproteobacteria, Vibrionales, Vibrionaceae.
AGGGGUGUAGCUCCAACUGGCAGAGCAGCGGAUUCCAAAUCCGCGUGUUGGGAGUUCGAAUCUCUCCACCCCUG